UCUUGGAUUUGCGGGAAUCGUAAUUUUGCAGACGGUCGUUAUGUCACCUCACCACAUGCUGCAACUGACCAGGUGGAGCUGGACCUAAACAUCGCUUCUACGGCACUUGUGAUUAUCUUCAGCCGAUAUUAUUUUGCUUGGCACACUCAUUUGGCUCAAGCAGAAUGGUAAUCAAUCCUCCUCACGUUCCAUAAUCCCAGCAAUAAAAGAUACUUUGGACAGUCCAUCAUACCCAGGACUACAGUAUCCUAGAUGCCAACCACAUAAUGGAAGAAAUGAAGAAAAAACAACCAAAUGUGGCACUCUCAUUUCACAAAUGAUGGACCAAUCAUUCCCACUAUGCAGACAAGAAAUUCUAAAAAACAAGGGCCUGCUAUACAGAACAUGGUUAAACGAUGGCCAGCACUUUUCACAGAGAGACAGGUGUUUGCUGAGUUUAAUAGAAUCGCCAGUAAGAAUCUUGAGGGAGACUUGAGGCUUUGGACCAGUAUUCCCCACGUUUCAUCAAACUUUUCUAAACAAAAAGGGAAACUUAAGGACUGAGUUGGCCAGAAACUCAAGGAGCUGAUGCAGCACAUGAGCUGGCUGACACCAGACGUGACAGUACUUCGCUCAUUUGUCCUCAAAGGCAUGACGACUCCAGUGAAUUCUACAAGACCUGCUCUGUAAGUACUUGCACAUAAAAAAAGUUUGGUCUGCAUGAAUAUAAAACUAUACCUGCAACGCAUCAUCAUAUUUCUCAUUCUGAAUAAACGUGGCUGAAACCAGUCGAUCGCAAGAGCGGUAGAUCGCACAUAAGUUAACUGCUGCUCCACGCGCGAAAUUGGCAUUAUCGUCUUUAAUUGUGAAACACGCAAGUCUUUUGAGUUGUUGUGCCUUUCUUCUCAAAUGUGUUUUUAUAAAUCUUAUGCCAGGCCGCUGCAGCUCAGUCGUCUAACUUCCAAAAUUCACCAGGAUGUGCAUUCUUGCCUUCACGCAGGAGCUGAUCCACGGUGUGUGUGUAUGUGUGUGUGCGCGCAUGCGUAAGCAAACGAGAGAGAGAGGGGCAGCGUAGUGCUGAUUUGUAUGCUUCUGAUGCUGUUGUCAUUUUCUAGUAGAAGAGCCCGCGGUAGGUAGAAAUUACCAGAGCCAAAUAAACGAUUUACUUGUAUAAAAAAAUACAUUUAGCAGUUUGGCUUUCCUAAGGGUCUAUAUAACCUGUUCUGAAACGAGUCUAUUAAAAUUAACAUAUCGCAAUACAUACCGCAAGAGGCCACAAUGCAUAUCGACAUAUGGAUUUUUGGCCAUAUCGUCCAUCCCUACUCGUGAUGCGCCUAUAUUUAAAAUAACAAAAUAUUGGUUGCAGGGAAAAUGGUCCAAUGAACGGUUCAAUAUGAAUACGCUUAUUGUUACACCCCUAAUACCUACACAACUAAUUUGAGAGAUGUAAAUAGAAAUAAAAU
Misgurnus anguillicaudatus (oriental weatherfish) is the source of this 1442-nucleotide non-coding RNA. NCBI's taxonomy places the organism in Eukaryota, Metazoa, Chordata, Actinopteri, Cypriniformes, Cobitidae. The record is from RefSeq and is a predicted model, not a curated record.